This 76-nucleotide ribosomal RNA is filed under the name Liquorilactobacillus mali. Its description in RNAcentral is "partial 16S ribosomal RNA". It matches the Rfam family "Bacterial small subunit ribosomal RNA", at positions 1465 to 1533 of the family's 1533-position model. Lineage: Bacteria; Bacillati; Bacillota; Bacilli; Lactobacillales; Lactobacillaceae. The record is from RNAcentral. RNAcentral also lists the same sequence under 1 other name.
GGACAGAUGAUUGGGGUGAAGUCGUAACAAGGUAGCCGUAGGAGAACCUGCGGCUGGAUCACCUCCUUUCUAAGGA